GACGAACGCUGGCGGCGUGCUUAACACAUGCAAGUCGAACGAGAAUCUAUGGAUCGAGGAUUCGUCCAAGUGAAGUAGAGGACAGUGGCGGACGGGUGAGUAACGCGUGAGGAACCUGCCUUUCAGGAGGGGGACAACAGUUGGAAACGACUGCUAAUACCGCAUGACACAUAGAGAUCGCAUUGGUUUUUUAUGUACAAAGUAUUUUAUCGCUAGAAAGAUGGCCUCGCGUCUGAUUAGCUAGUUGGUGAGGU
This 254-nucleotide ribosomal RNA is filed under the name uncultured bacterium. Its description in RNAcentral is "partial 16S ribosomal RNA". It matches the Rfam family "Bacterial small subunit ribosomal RNA", at positions 28 to 258 of the family's 1533-position model. The record is from RNAcentral.